Molecule: ribosomal RNA, 467 nt
Filed under: uncultured bacterium
Lineage: Bacteria
Description: bacterial SSU rRNA
Rfam family: Bacterial small subunit ribosomal RNA
Source: RNAcentral
UCCCAGACUCCUACGGGAGGCAGCAGUGAGGAAUAUUGGUCAAUGGGAGAGAUCCUGAACCAGCCAAGCCGCGUGAGGGAAGACGGCCCUAUGGGUUGUAAACCUCUUUUGUCGGAGAACAAAACCCGGGACGUGUCCCGGACUGCGUGUGUCCGAAGAAAAAGCAUCGGCUAACUCCGUGCCAGCAGCCGCGGUAAUACGGAGGAUGCGAGCGUUAUCCGGAUUUAUUGGGUUUAAAGGGUGCGUAGGCGGAAUAUCAAGUCAGCGGUAAAAAUUCGGGGCUCAACCCCGUCGUGCCGUUGAAACUGGCGUUCUUGAGUGAGCGAGAAGUAUGCGGAAUGCGUGGUGUAGCGGUGAAAUGCAUAGAUAUCGCGCAGAACUCCGAUUGCGAAGGCAGCGUACCGGCGCCACACUGACGCUGAGGCACGAAAGCGUGGGGAUCGAACAGGAUUAGAUACCCCAGUAGU